AUUGAGCGCUGGCGGCAGGCUUAACCCAUGCAAGUCGAGCGGAGUGAUGGUGCUUGCACUAUCACUUAGCGGCGGACGGGUGAGUAAUGCUUAGGAAUCUGCCUAUUAGUGGGGGACAACAUCUCGAAAGGGAUGCUAAUACCGCAUACGUCCUACGGGAGAAAGCAGGGGAUCACUUGUGACCUUGCGCUAAUAGAUGAGCCUAAGUCGGAUUAGCUAGUUGGUGGGGUAAAGGCCUACCAAGGCGACGAUCUGUAGCGGGUCUGAGAGGAUGAGCCGCCACACUGGGACGGAGACACGGCCCAGACUCCUACGGGAGGCAGCAGUGGGGAAUAUUGGACAAUGGGGGGAACCCUGAUCCAGCCAUGCCGCGUGUGUGAAGAAGGCCUUAGGGUUGUAAAGCACUUUUAGUGGGGAGGAGGGUAUCUAGGUUAAGAGCUAGGAUAUUGGACGUUACUCACAGAAAAAGCACCGGCUAACUCCGUGCCAGCCGCCGCCGUAA
RNAcentral lists this ribosomal RNA (502 nucleotides) under uncultured bacterium. RNAcentral's name for it is "partial 16S ribosomal RNA". It matches the Rfam family "Bacterial small subunit ribosomal RNA", at positions 30 to 523 of the family's 1533-position model. The record is from RNAcentral.